RNAcentral lists this ribosomal RNA (253 nucleotides) under uncultured bacterium. Its description in RNAcentral is "partial 16S ribosomal RNA". It matches the Rfam family "Bacterial small subunit ribosomal RNA", at positions 524 to 776 of the family's 1533-position model. The record is from RNAcentral.
CACGUAGGGCGCAAGCGUUGUCCGGAAUUACUGGGCGUAAAGGGCUCGUAGGCGGUCUGUUGCGUCGGGAGUGAAAACUCAGGGCUUAACCCUGAGCCUGCUUCCGAUACGGGCAGACUAGAGGUAUGCAGGGGAGAACGGAAUUCCUGGUGUAGCGGUGAAAUGCGCAGAUAUCAGGAGGAACACCGGUGGCGAAGGCGGUUCUCUGGGCAUUACCUGACGCUGAGGAGCGAAAGUGUGGGGAGCGAACAGG